UACGGAGGGUGCGAGCGUUAUCCGGAAUCACUGGGCGUAAAGGGCGCGUAGGCGGCGCGGAUAGUCGGCGGUGAAAGCCCGGAGCUCAACUCCGGGUCGGCCGUCGAUACUUCCGGGCUUGAGCACUGUAGAGGCAGAUGGAAUUCCGGGUGUAGCGGUGGAAUGCGUAGAGAUCCGGAAGAACACCGGUGGCGAAGGCGGUCUGCUGGGCAGUUGCUGACGCUGAUGCGCGACAGCGUGGGGAGCAAACAGG
RNAcentral lists this ribosomal RNA (253 nucleotides) under uncultured bacterium. RNAcentral describes it as "partial 16S ribosomal RNA". It matches the Rfam family "Bacterial small subunit ribosomal RNA", at positions 524 to 776 of the family's 1533-position model. The record is from RNAcentral.